GGAGAGGUGGCCGAGUGGUCGAAGGCGAUCGCCUGCUAAGCGAUUACAGGGGAAACUCUGUCGCGGGUUCGAAUCCCGCCCUCUCCGCCA
Molecule: transfer RNA, 90 nt
Filed under: Thermus scotoductus
Lineage: Bacteria; Thermotogati; Deinococcota; Deinococci; Thermales; Thermaceae
Description: tRNA-Ser
Rfam family: tRNA
About the family: Transfer RNA (tRNA) molecules are approximately 80 nucleotides in length. Their secondary structure includes four short double-helical elements and three loops (D, anti-codon, and T loops).
Source: RNAcentral